GAUGAACGCUAGCGGCAGGCCUAACACAUGCAAGUCGAGGGGUAGAGUUCUUCGGGACUUGAGACCGGCGCACGGGUGCGUAACGCGUAUGCAAUCUACCUUAUACAGGGGAAUAGCCCAGAGAAAUUUGGAUUAAUGCCCCAUAGUGUUAUCGAAUCGCAUGGUUUGAUAACUAAAGUUCCAACGGUAUAAGAUGAGCAUGCGUCCCAUUAGUUAGUUGGUAAGGUGACGGCUUACCAAGACAAUGAUGGGUAGGGGUCCUGAGAGGGAGAUCCCCCACACUGGUACUGAGACACGGACCAGACUCCUACGGGAGGCAGCAGUGAGGAAUAUUGGUCAAUGGGCGCAAGCCUGAACCAGCCAUGCCGCGUGCAGGGAAGACGGUCCUAUGGGUUGUAAACUGCUUUUUAUACAGGAAGAAACACUCCCUCGUGAGGGAACUUGACGGUACUGUAUGAAUAAGGACCGGCUGACUCCGUG
This 480-nucleotide ribosomal RNA is filed under the name uncultured bacterium. Its description in RNAcentral is "bacterial SSU rRNA". It matches the Rfam family "Bacterial small subunit ribosomal RNA", at positions 28 to 507 of the family's 1533-position model. The record is from RNAcentral.